UAAUCUGUAUCUAAUCUGCUCAGCAUGCAGCGCGCUCUGUGUUCAUGGCACGAUACGCCCCCAUGUGAUAAGGGCGUUACCCGCCUGUUCACAACGUGUAUAAAACCAGUGCUGAAUAAACGCUGGGGCUCACUUUUGCCCAGCAAGUGACACACGACGUGUCGUCGUCUGCUCCACUCGAUGCAUGGUGUCAGAAGUGGUUAGCAUGGCAAUGCACUUCCUGCACGACGCGUGAAGACCAGCGAUCCUGUGGCGGAAAAUGGAUUUCCUCAAAGCACCGGAGCCGCUCCUUACAACAGGCGACCUGCGCAAGAACUGGCAGCUCUUCAAACAAAGGUUUGAAAUUUUCCUCACGGCGUCAGAGGUCGCAGAAAAGCCUCGGACUGAGUCCAAGAAGACAGCGUUGCUUUUGAGCGUCGCGGGCGCAGAGGCCAUUGAAGUCUUUAACACCUUCACGUUUGCAGCAGGCGAGAAGAACGACGACUAUGCCACAGUGGCGAAAAAAUUUGAUGAGUAUUGCAUUGCCAUGCUGAGCUUUUUCGUGGCACGAAAGGGGCGCCAAGCAAUCCUAGGACUUGAGGCGAGUGAACGCCUGGGACUGAUUUCACGCGUGAACAGCGUGUCGCAAAACAGCUCUGAAGAAGUGGUUGCCAGCUUUCGUCACCUUUUCACUGGCACCGGCUGCGUCAAACGAGUAUACCACAUGGUGCUUCGCAAGGACGCCACGCCAGUGGUUCAGAGACCUCGUCGAGUGCCACUGGCUUUAGAGGAGCCACUUCGGGAGGAGUUGUCACGUAUGGAACAAGCCGGAAUAAUUGCAAAAGUCACUGAGCCAACAGACUGGGUGAGUCCCCUUGUUAUCGUACGAAAGAAAGACGGGAAGCUGCGAGUCUGCAUGGACCCCAGGAAAAUAAAUGAGUGCCUCAAGCGCGAGCACUACGCGAUGCCGAGGCGGGAAGACAUAGAGGCCGAGCUGGCCGGCGCAAGAGUAUUCACUCGCCUAGAUGCAAACGCAGGGUUUCACCAAAUUCCCUUAGAUGACGAGACGUCUAGGAUAUGCACUUUUGCGACACCCUUCGGCCGCUAUCGAUUUUUGCGACUGCCUUUCGGAAUAUCAUCAGCGUCCGAAGUAUUUCAGCAAACCCUAAGUGAAAUUUUUGACGCGUUUCCUGGCGUUAGAGUGUAUGUCGAUGACAUACUCGUGUGGGGCAAUUCCCAACAAGAGCACGACCAACGUCUAAGAUCAGCGCUAGAAGCGGCAGAACGUGCGGGCCUUACGUUCAAUCCAGCAAAGUGCGAGUUUGGCGUUCAACAAAUUGAAUUCCUGGGCGACGUGAUAAACGAAGAAGGAAUCCGUCCAAAUGCAUCCCAUGUUGAGUGCAUGUUGCAGAUGGCACCCCCUAGUGAUAAACUAGCAGUUCAACGCAUGCUGGGUGUCGUGAACUAUUUUGGAAAGUUUUUGCCAACACUAGCAGAAAGGACAACGCUUCUCAGAAGCUUGCUAAAAAAAGACACUGUUUUCGAAUGGUCGGCAAAUCACGAAAAAGAGUGGAGAGCGCUGUGCGACAGCCUUAGCAAGCAGCCCUUGCUAUCAGUUUUUGACCCUGAAAAAGAAACCAGGUUAUCAUGCGAUGCGUCACAAAACGGAAUCGGUGCUGCCUUGCUGCAGUAUCACAACGGUGCAUGGAAACCGGUUGCGUACGCCUCCAGAGUGCUUACUGAUACGCAGCAACGCUAUUCACAAAUUGAAAAGGAAGCAAUGGCCAUAGUUUUCGGCUGCGAGAAAUUUCACCAUUUCAUGUAUGGGCGGAAGGUUGUCGUUGAGACUGACCAUCGUCCGUUGAUCUCCAUAUCGCAGAAGGCGAUCGGUGACAUGCCGCCAAGACUGCAGCGAUUUUUUUUGCGUCUGCUACGCUAUGACAUUUUAAUGCAUUAUGUUCCAGGAAAACAGCUUCUACUGGCGGACAUGCUGUCCAGGGCUUCCGUUAAGGGCGCAGCAGAUAACGCAGACAACAACAACGACGACGUCGAAGUGCACGCAGUCAACUCCACUGGAAUGCGGCUGGUCACCAGCCGAAAUAUUACAGGGACGCUCGCUGCGAACAACUCUACCAGCCGUUCAGGUCGGACAAAGCCGGCGGGUUGACAAACGCCAGCAAAAAGACUACUCAAGAGGGCCACUCGCACCGCUCAACAACGGCGAAACGGUCAGAAUAAAAGACAGCUCAUCAUGGAGAAGAAAGGCUCGGGUUCUUCAGUCGUCUGGUCAACCAAGGUCAUACGUUGUCAUGACUGAAGACGGGCAACUCUUGCGACGCAACCGCGAGCAUCUGCUGCCAACCAGAGAAUCUUUUCGCCUUAGCGGUCCUCCUCACGACGACGAAGGUGUUUUUCAAGAAUACGCUGCCCCUGCCAGCACACAACACGACCCAGAGGCGGCGCAAAACCCAAACAGCACAGCGAGCAUUGUGCCGACAGUUCCGCAACAAGCAGCUGCUCCAAGGACUACAAGACAACGCAGACCACCUCGGCGCUUAAUGUAUGACGCGAACUUUCAACAAGUGCCGUGACUGUAUUCAGUGCUCUGAUCUUUGCUGUAGUUUUGGAUGUGCAGUGAUUCUUUAACUUUCUUUUUGUUCUCCCGAGCUAAAAGCGCUCCUUGUCCUUAGUUUUUUUUUUUUUUCUCGUUACGAAGGGGGGGAUGUAUCGUAAUCUGUAUCUAAUCUGCUCAGCAUGCAGCGCGCUCUGUGUUCAUGGCACGAUACGCCCCCAUGUGAUAAAAAUGGCACGAUACGCACCCGCCUGUUCACAACGUGUAUAAAACCAGUGCUGAAUAAACGCUGGGGCUCACUUUUGCCCAGCAAGUGACA
This is a non-coding RNA of Dermacentor albipictus, 2870 nucleotides long. The record is from RefSeq and is a predicted model, not a curated record. NCBI's taxonomy places the organism in Eukaryota, Metazoa, Arthropoda, Arachnida, Ixodida, Ixodidae.